AUAGAUGAGAAGUUGCUGGUACACUACCUCACCUACACCAAAGAGAGCAGUUAUUGCGGCUAAACAUCCAUUCAAGGAGGAUCUCGAAGCAAAUAAAUUGUACGCUUGGUGUGCAUGUGGGCACAGUCAAAAGCAGGUGGUGAGUCUUCGAAACCGCUCAAAGGGUGAUGGAAGCAGAAUCUUCGAAAAUUUUUGAAACAAAGACGGAUGGAUUCCUGAUACAUAAGGGGUGCAGGGUUACCAUGGAGGACAGGAAUGUGGUUACAGCCAGAUCAUCCCUAAAUGACAAUCAAGAUUGAGAGCUGAAUGACUUAUUCCUGCUCCAAAUUUGUAUGUUCAUGUGUUUGAGUGGGUGUGUUCAUUGUGAACAGAAGAGCUUUUAUUCAAAAUGAUUGGGAAUCACUAGUUUGGAGAAUGUUCGUCUCAUUGGAACAUAUAAAAUUCUUAAAAGAACUUCUUGGUGUUGAAGUUCAGAGUCUAUUUCUUUAAAGUAAUGGGUCAACCAUUUAAGACAGAGAUAAGGAGAAACCUCUUUACUUAGAGGGCUGUGAAUUUUCUUUGGAGCUCUUUACCCAAGAAGCCCAUCAAUGGUCAUCCAAUUAUAUUCCAGAUUCCAUUUAGUUAAUUCCCCAGAUGGAGGAAUUGCCUACUAGGUCUACCCCUACUCGCCCUUGAACUGAAUGACAUGCAGGACCAGAUGGCAGUCAAGAAUUAGCCAAGUUGCUGUGGGUUAGUAGUCACAUCCAGCCUAGACCAGGGGGAAGAUUUUCUAUCCCAAAGGAUAUUGUUAAACCAGAUGGAUUCUUAAACAACAAUCCAGAGUGUCAAUUGUUACAGAUUUGUUUGUGAUUUAUUUUGAUUGUGGGAUUUGAACUCUUGUUAUUUGAUCCGGAAUUGGAUCAGUGACUUACCUUCCCACAAAGUAGCAUGGGUUCAUAAAAUUGAUCCAUCAAAAAUCCAUUACUUGAUGCUAGCUCUUCAUUCCAGAUUUAGAACAUAGGACAUAGAACAGUUACAGCACAAUUCAGGCCCUUCGGCCCACAAAGCUGUGCUGAACAUGUCCCUACCCUAGAAAUUACUAGGCUUACCCAUAGCUGUCUAUUUAACUCAGCUCCAUGUACCUAUCGUAUCAAUUUGUUUAUGAAUGUGCAUUCAAACAUACAGAUUACGAGCAGGAAUAGGCCACUCAGCCCCUCGAGCCUAGUCUGCCAUUCAAUAUGACCCUGAUUAAUAUAAUUCUAACUUCAACUCCACAUUCUCACCUACCCCCCCUUACACCUUUUAAGGAAGAGAGUUCCAAAGAAAGAGAAAAAAACUCGUCUUGUUUCCCUUCAUGCAAGUCACUUAUAUAAAUUGUAAGAAGUUGCCCCAGCACUGAUUCCUGUGACACACCCCUCCUUAGAUCUUGCCAAUCAGAAAAAGGCUCAUUUAAGCCUACCCUCUUGUUUCCUGUUAGCCAGGCAGUCUUCAAAUAUUUUGCCUCGUACACUGUGAACUUUUAUUUUCCGCAAUAACUUUUGAUUUACUUGGAUUUGAAGUUAAAUUUAAGUUCUCCAGCUACCAUGGUGGGAUUCAAACUCGUUUCUCCCACUCAGUGGUCCAGGCUUCUGGCUGCUAAUUUACAAACAUAACUAUUAUGCUUUCAACUAAUCUGGGGGCAGGACAGGGACCUGGCACUGAGACUCAACAGCCACUCCACCAACUCGUUGGCCUCACCGUGACAUGCUUGCAUCACAAAUCACCAGGCAAAAACUUUCAGCGUGUUUUAUCUGGACAGCAUGUUUGUCCACAUCUGGAAGUAUUAUAAAUGUCAAGGCUUUCGGUAUGUAUAAUAAAAAAUGCACUUCAAACCACGAACAUCCAAUAAAGUGCCAAAGCACAGCAUUUCAUUGCACACCCCCACCUCGUCCCCACCAAACUCGAAAAUAUUCCAUCUCCCCAGGUGAUCACUUUUGUUGAUAAUGUGCCUCUUUCUUGAAGACAAGAGUGAUUACCACCAGUUGCAACAUCAUAAAGGGGUCAAUUCAAGCUUUCUUUCACUGCUUCUCUGCAAUAUUCUCCAACAUUCCUUCCCAACACUCACCUUUCACCCUUCCAAACUCAAGGUACUUCACCUAACCUCCUCCCAGUCAGUGAGAAUUUGGAAGGAGCAGUUCAGACAAAUAGCAUGGAUGUACUUAAGGGGAAGUUAGAUAAACAUAUGAUUGAGAAAAGAAAUGAAAGGUAUAUUAAUAGGGUGAGAUGGAGUCAGCUCAUGUGGAGCAUAAACAUUGGCUUACACUAUUUAAGUUUCUGUGCUGUAAAGUUAAUGUAAGGCUUUUGUCAGCUAGCUGCAAAACAUUUCACAACAUGAAAGCCACUGUAAAAGUAAGAUGUUUUGAUUUUGUUAAAAAAUAGCAGUUGUGCUGUACACUGGGGUUGAGGUCACUGAGUCGUAUUGGUUUACGUGUAGCAGGGGGUCACUGGAGAGCAAGGAGCAGAAUUGCUGAUUAACUUCACCUCCCUCAACUGACCCAUGGUCAAGGGCACUGAGCCAAGGCGAGCUUAGUCCAUUCAGAGUGGAUCAAGAAGGGAAUUUAGCAGUUUGUGCUUGGUCUGGCCUGCGAGAGAGUUUGCCGGAUCAUGGAAUAACAUGGAUCCGAUUCACUCUUGUAGACCACGACAAAGCUGGAGUUAUGAAGUUUUUUUAACCUAUAUUAAUGGAUGUAUGCAUUGGACGGUGUAAUAUGACUAAAUUACUCCAAAAUACCUCUACACUUGCUUUCUUAUCUAUAAGAGCUUGUUUACUUAUUAUGACACAGGAGACCAUUUGGCCCAUCAGGUCCAUGCCAGCUCCCAGCAGAAUAAUCCCAUUAGAGCCAUUCCCCCUCUGUUUAUGUCCCUGCUACUCUCACAUGCUCAUUAACUCUCCUUUAGUUGUUUUGCCACUACUCUACACUAAAGGGUAAUGUACAGGAGCCACUUAACCAACCAGCAUGCCUUUGGAGUGGGGGAGGAAACACCACCCAACGGAAACUUCACACAGAUGGGACCCAAGGACAAAAUUGAACCCAGGCAACUGAAACCAUGCAGAUACUACACUGCAGAGGUUGCAACUAUAUCAACAAGUUUUUACUUAUCUCAAGAGGGAGUGAAGUGUAGUCAUUGAUGUAAUGCUGAAUAUGAUUACUGAUCUGUGCACAGCAAGCUCCCACAAUGUCGCAGUGUCAAGGCUGCGGAGGGGUUUUAAAACGGAGCCAUUGUUCAACAGGGAGCCAACUUUAGUUCACAAACCAGGGUGGCACAGAGGCGCAGAACUUGGUGCUGCUGCUUCACAGCUCCAGCUACGCAGGUUCAAUUUUGACCUCCGUUGCUGUCUGUGUGGAGUUUGCAUGUUCUCCCUGAGACUGCGUGGGUUUCUCUGGGCUGCUCUGAUUUCCUCCCACAUCCCAAAGACAUAUUGGUAGGCUAAUUGGGCACUGUCAAUCGCCCCUAUUGUGGGUGGGUGUGAGGAGGAUCAGGGUGGUGUUGAUGGGCAAAUAGGUUACAGGGAAACCAAGUAGGGUCAUGAGACUGAUGGAAGUGCUCUGAGGGCUGGCAUGGACUUGAUGGGCUGAAUAACCUCCUCCUAUCUUCUAAUAAAAACAAAAAAUAUGAGAAAAAAACAUAGUUGCUGAAUACAGUAUACUUUAUCCUCCUGCUUGGAAGUACAUAAACCAGU
This is an RNA transcript of Pristis pectinata (smalltooth sawfish), 3700 nucleotides long. It is a transcript of the gene named CDGSH iron-sulfur domain-containing protein 3, mitochondrial-like, with no coding region annotated. Lineage: Eukaryota; Metazoa; Chordata; Chondrichthyes; Rhinopristiformes; Pristidae. The record is from RefSeq and is a predicted model, not a curated record. The transcript has 2 exons.